RNAcentral lists this ribosomal RNA (443 nucleotides) under uncultured bacterium. RNAcentral's name for it is "partial 16S ribosomal RNA". It matches the Rfam family "Bacterial small subunit ribosomal RNA", at positions 338 to 795 of the family's 1533-position model. The record is from RNAcentral.
CCUACGGGAGGCAGCAGUGGGGAAUAUUGGGCAAUGGGCGCAAGCCUGACCCAGCAACGCCGCGUGAAGGAAGAAGGCUUUCGGGUUGUAAACUUCUUUUCUCAGGGACGAAGCAAGUGACGGUACCUGAUGAUUAAGCCACGGCUAACUAAGUGCCAGCAGUCGCGGUAAUACGUAGGUGGCAAGCGUUAUCCGGAUUUACGGGGUGUAAAGGGCGUGUAGGGGGGAAAGCAAGGCAGAUGUGAAAACCAUGGGGUUAACCUGUGGCCUGCAUUUGAAACUGUUUUUCUUGAGUACUGGAGAGGCAGGCGGAAGUCCUGGUGUAGCGGUGAAAUGCGUAGAUAUUAGGAGGAACACCAGUGGCGAAGGCGGUCUGCUGGACAGCAACUGACGCUGAGGCGCGAAAGCGUGGGGAGCAAACAGGAUUAGAUACCCCAGUAGUC